This 373-nucleotide ribosomal RNA is filed under the name uncultured organism. RNAcentral describes it as "bacterial SSU rRNA". It matches the Rfam family "Bacterial small subunit ribosomal RNA", at positions 526 to 896 of the family's 1533-position model. The record is from RNAcentral.
CGGGGGGGCGAAGCGUUGUUCGGAAUUACUGGGCGUAAAGGGCUCGUAGGCGGCCAACUAAGUCGGACGUGAAAUCCCCAGGCUCAACCUGGGAACUGCGUCCGAUACUGGAUGGCUUGAAUCCGGGAGAGGGAUGCAGAAUUCCAGGUGUAGCGGUGAAAUGCGUAGAUAUCUGGAGGAAUACCGGUGGGCGAAGGCGGCAUCCUGGACCGGCAUUGACGCUGAGGAGCGAAAGCCAGGGGAGCAAACGGGAUUAGAUACCCCGGUAGUCCUGGCCCUAAACGAUGAAUGCUUGGUGUAACGGGUAUCGAUCCCUGUUGUGCCGAAGCUAACGCAUUAAGCAUUCCGCCUGGGGAGUACGGUCGCAAGGCUG